AUUGAACGCUGGCGGCAGGCCUAACACAUGCAAGUCGAGCGGUAACAGAGAGUAGCUUGCUACUUUGCUGACGAGCGGCGGACGGGUGAGUAAUGCUUGGGAAUAUGCCUUAUGGUGGGGGACAACAGUUGGAAACGACUGCUAAUACCGCAUGAUGUCUACGGACCAAAGUGGGGGACCUUCGGGCCUCACGCCAUAAGAUUAGCCCAAGUGGGAUUAGCUAGUUGGUGAGGUAAUGGCUCACCAAGGCGACGAUCCCUAGCUGGUUUGAGAGGAUGAUCAGCCACACUGGGACUGAGACACGGCCCAGACUCCUACGGGAGGCAGCAGUGGGGAAUAUUGCACAAUGGGCGCAAGCCUGAUGCAGCCAUGCCGCGUGUGUGAAGAAGGCCUUCGGGUUGUAAAGCACUUUCAGUAAGGAGGAAAGGUUAAGUGUUAAUAGCACUUAGCUGUGACGUUACUUACAGAAGAAGCACCGGCUAACUCCGUGCCAGCAGCCGCGGUAAUACGGAGGGUGCGAGCGUUAAUCGGAAUUACUGGGCGUAAAGCGUACGCAGGCGGUUUGUUAAGCGAGAUGUGAAAGCCCCGGGCUCAACCUGGGAACUGCAUUUCGAACUGGCAAACUAGAGUGUGAUAGAGGGUGGUAGAAUUUCAGGUGUAGCGGUGAAAUGCGUAGAGAUCUGAAGGAAUACCGAUGGCGAAGGCAGCCACCUGGGUCAACACUGACGCUCAUGUACGAAAGCGUGGGGAGC
RNAcentral lists this ribosomal RNA (752 nucleotides) under Pseudoalteromonas sp. B303. RNAcentral describes it as "bacterial SSU rRNA". It matches the Rfam family "Bacterial small subunit ribosomal RNA", at positions 28 to 769 of the family's 1533-position model. The record is from RNAcentral. Lineage: Bacteria; Pseudomonadati; Pseudomonadota; Gammaproteobacteria; Alteromonadales; Pseudoalteromonadaceae.